CUCCGUAUUUGAUUGUUUACAUAUCGAGAUGUGUCCGUGUGUCCGUAUUCGUAUACAUGUAUGUAAUAACACAAUAAUGCAUACACAACGUUCAACUUUCUUAUUCAAUACUUUAAUUGAUACGAAUAACCAUUAUGUAUGAUAUGCUAGUUGUAUUUAAGGCGAUAAUAAUUUUUUUUUCCACUGAAGAUAUUAGUUUUGUAUAUACUUCUAUAAUUUUGUUGUUGUUGGGUUUAUGUUUCAUUAGCUUUAACAAAAAAUUAUAUGAAAGAAAAAAUAUAUUCCGAAUUUAAGUUUUAGAUGUUUUUAUAACAAAAUAAAUACGUUUCAAAAACGCCAUAAUGCAAAAAACGGUUACAUGUAAUGGUGAACGUCAAAAACGUCAAAUAAGCGACGUUGUGACAUUUUGGUAGACCACCAUGUGACCACUGUAAUUUGAUAAUUUGUACAUUAAUCUUUAUCCUAUUUAUAUUGAAAUGUUCCUUCGGUUUGAGAAUUUUCGAUUAUCGCUUAAAUUUUCUUCUUAAUUAUACAGUUUUCACUUAUUUCUAAAGAUUUUUAACAACUUGUUUUUAGUAUUUUAGAAAAAAAAUGAAGAUGCCAUUUUUGUGACAUUUUGGUAGACACCCUUCCAACGCAUUAGUAAUCGAAAUAAAUUGACAAAAUUAUAAAUAAAUGCAUACUACCGUUUCGUUUCUAUUAGGAAUUUAUCAUAUUGGCUUCAUUUCUCCGUUUUAAAAUGCACGAUCCUUUUUUUCUU
This 760-nucleotide long non-coding RNA is filed under the name Mytilus galloprovincialis (Mediterranean mussel). Lineage: Eukaryota; Metazoa; Mollusca; Bivalvia; Mytilida; Mytilidae. The record is from RNAcentral.